RNAcentral lists this ribosomal RNA (585 nucleotides) under Klebsiella sp. DAR02. RNAcentral's name for it is "bacterial SSU rRNA". It matches the Rfam family "Bacterial small subunit ribosomal RNA", at positions 543 to 1120 of the family's 1533-position model. The record is from RNAcentral. Lineage: Bacteria; Pseudomonadati; Pseudomonadota; Gammaproteobacteria; Enterobacterales; Enterobacteriaceae.
UUGGGGAAUUACUGGGCGGUAAGCGCACGCAGGCGGUCUGUCAAGUCGGAUGUGAAAAAAAAGAGGCUCAACCUGGGAACUGCAUUCGAAACUGGCAGGUCUGAGUCUUGUAGAGGGGGGUAGAAUUCCAGGUGUAGCGGUGAAAUGCGUAGAGAUCUGGAGGAAUACCGGUGGCGAAGGCGGCCCCCUGGACAAAGACUGACGCUCAGGUGCGAAAGCGUGGGGAGCAAACAGGAUUAGAUACCCUGGUAGUCCACGCCGUAAACGAUGUCGAUUUGGAGGUUGUGCCCUUGAGGCGUGGCUUCCGGAGCUAACGCGUUAAAUCGACCGCCUGGGGAGUACGGCCGCAAGGUUAAAACUCAAAUGUAUUGACGGGGGCCCGCACAAGCGGUGGAGCAUGUGGUUUAAUUCGAUGCAACGCGAAGAACCUUACCUGGUCUUGACAUCCACAGAACUUUCCAGAGAUGGAUUGGUUGCCUUCGGGAACUGUGAGACAGGUGCUGCUUGGCUGUCGUCAGCUCGGUGUUGUGAAAUGUUGGGUUUAAGUUCCCGCAACGAGCGCAACCCCUUAUCCCUUUGUUGCCA